Molecule: ribosomal RNA, 406 nt
Filed under: uncultured bacterium
Lineage: Bacteria
Description: partial 16S ribosomal RNA
Rfam family: Bacterial small subunit ribosomal RNA
Source: RNAcentral
AUUGAACGCUGGCGGCAGGCCUAACACAUGCAAGUCGAACGAGUGGCGGACGGGUGAGCAAUGUCUGGGAACCUGUCUGAUGGCGGGGGAUAACUACUGGAAACGGUCGCUAAUACCGCAUACCUUGAGAUGUGCUCAGAUGGGGUUCGCUUGUUGGUGGGGUAACGGCUCACCUAGGCGACGCUCCCUAGCUGGUCUGAGAGGAUGACCAGCCACACUGAAGCUGAGACACGGUCCAGACUCCUACGGGAGGCAGCAGUGGGGAAGAUUGCACAAUGAACGGAGGCCUGUUUGAGCCAUGCCGCGUGUAUGAAGAAGGCCUUCGGGUUGUAAAGUACUUUCAGUGGGGAGGCGUUACCCGCAGAAGAAGCACCGGCUAACUCCGUGCCAGCAGCCGCGGUAAUUC